UUAAGCGACUAAGCGUACACGGUGGAUGCCCUGGCAGUCAGAGGCGAUGAAGGACGUGCUAAUCUGCGAUAAGCGUCGGUAAGGUGAUAUGAACCGUUAUAACCGGCGAUUUCCGAAUGGGGAAACCCAGUGUGUUUCGACACACUAUCAUUAACUGAAUCCAUAGGUUAAUGAGGCGAACCGGGGGAACUGAAACAUCUAAGUACCCCGAGGAAAAGAAAUCAACCGAGAUUCCCCCAGUAGCGGCGAGCGAACGGGGAGCAGCCCAGAGCCUGAAUCAGUGUGUGUGUUAGUGGAAGCGUCUGGAAAGGCGCGCGAUACAGGGUGACAGCCCCGUACACAAAAAUGCACAUACUGUGAGCUCGAUGAGUAGGGCGGGACACGUGGUAUCCUGUCUGAAUAUGGGGGGACCAUCCUCCAAGGCUAAAUACUCCUGACUGACCGAUAGUGAACCAGUACCGUGAGGGAAAGGCGAAAAGAACCCCGGCGAGGGGAGUGAAAAAGAACCUGAAACCGUGUACGUACAAGCAGUGGGAGCACGCUUAGGCGUGUGACUGCGUACCUUUUGUAUAAUGGGUCAGCGACUUAUAUUCUGUAGCAAGGUUAACCGAAUAGGGGAGCCGAAGGGAAACCGAGUCUUAACUGGGCGUUAAGUUGCAGGGUAUAGACCCGAAACCCGGUGAUCUAGCCAUGGGCAGGUUGAAGGUUGGGUAACACUAACUGGAGGACCGAACCGACUAAUGUUGAAAAAUUAGCGGAUGACUUGUGGCUGGGGGUGAAAGGCCAAUCAAACCGGGAGAUAGCUGGUUCUCCCCGAAAGCUAUUUAGGUAGCGCCUCGUGAAUUCAUCUCCGGGGGUAGAGCACUGUUUCGGCAAGGGGGUCAUCCCGACUUACCAACCCGAUGCAAACUGCGAAUACCGGAGAAUGUUAUCACGGGAGACACACGGCGGGUGCUAACGUCCGUCGUGAAGAGGGAAACAACCCAGACCGCCAGCUAAGGUCCCAAAGUCAUGGUUAAGUGGGAAACGAUGUGGGAAGGCCCAGACAGCCAGGAUGUUGGCUUAGAAGCAGCCAUCAUUUAAAGAAAGCGUAAUAGCUCACUGGUCGAGUCGGCCUGCGCGGAAGAUGUAACGGGGCUAAACCAUGCACCGAAGCUGCGGCAGCGACGCUUAUGCGUUGUUGGGUAGGGGAGCGUUCUGUAAGCCUGUGAAGGUGUGCUGUGAGGCAUGCUGGAGGUAUCAGAAGUGCGAAUGCUGACAUAAGUAACGAUAAAGCGGGUGAAAAGCCCGCUCGCCGGAAGACCAAGGGUUCCUGUCCAACGUUAAUCGGGGCAGGGUGAGUCGACCCCUAAGGCGAGGCCGAAAGGCGUAGUCGAUGGGAAACAGGUUAAUAUUCCUGUACUUGGUGUUACUGCGAAGGGGGGACGGAGAAGGCUAUGUUGGCCGGGCGACGGUUGUCCCGGUUUAAGCGUGUAGGCUGGUUUUCCAGGCAAAUCCGGAAAAUCAAGGCUGAGGCGUGAUGACGAGGCACUACGGUGCUGAAGCAACAAAUGCCCUGCUUCCAGGAAAAGCCUCUAAGCAUCAGGUAACAUCAAAUCGUACCCCAAACCGACACAGGUGGUCAGGUAGAGAAUACCAAGGCGCUUGAGAGAACUCGGGUGAAGGAACUAGGCAAAAUGGUGCCGUAACUUCGGGAGAAGGCACGCUGAUAUGUAGGUGAAGCGACUUGCUCGUGGAGCUGAAAUCAGUCGAAGAUACCAGCUGGCUGCAACUGUUUAUUAAAAACACAGCACUGUGCAAACACGAAAGUGGACGUAUACGGUGUGACGCCUGCCCGGUGCCGGAAGGUUAAUUGAUGGGGUCAGCGCAAGCGAAGCUCUUGAUCGAAGCCCCGGUAAACGGCGGCCGUAACUAUAACGGUCCUAAGGUAGCGAAAUUCCUUGUCGGGUAAGUUCCGACCUGCACGAAUGGCGUAAUGAUGGCCAGGCUGUCUCCACCCGAGACUCAGUGAAAUUGAACUCGCUGUGAAGAUGCAGUGUACCCGCGGCAAGACGGAAAGACCCCGUGAACCUUUACUAUAGCUUGACACUGAACAUUGAGCCUUGAUGUGUAGGAUAGGUGGGAGGCUUGGAAGUGUGGACGCCAGUCUGCAUGGAGCCGACCUUGAAAUACCACCCUUUAAUGUUUGAUGUUCUAACGUGGACCCGUAAUCCGGGUUGCGGACAGUGUCUGGUGGGUAGUUUGACUGGGGCGGUCUCCUCCUAAAGAGUAACGGAGGAGCACGAAGGUUGGCUAAUCCUGGUCGGACAUCAGGAGGUUAGUGCAAUGGCAUAAGCCAGCUUGACUGCGAGCGUGACGGCGCGAGCAGGUGCGAAAGCAGGUCAUAGUGAUCCGGUGGUUCUGAAUGGAAGGGCCAUCGCUCAACGGAUAAAAGGUACUCCGGGGAUAACAGGCUGAUACCGCCCAAGAGUUCAUAUCGACGGCGGUGUUUGGCACCUCGAUGUCGGCUCAUCACAUCCUGGGGCUGAAGUAGGUCCCAAGGGUAUGGCUGUUCGCCAUUUAAAGUGGUACGCGAGCUGGGUUUAGAACGUCGUGAGACAGUUCGGUCCCUAUCUGCCGUGGGCGCUGGAGAACUGAGGGGGGCUGCUCCUAGUACGAGAGGACCGGAGUGGACGCAUCACUGGUGUUCGGGUUGUCAUGCCAAUGGCACUGCCCGGUAGCUAAAUGCGGAAGAGAUAAGUGCUGAAAGCAUCUAAGCACGAAACUUGCCCCGAGAUGAGUUCUCCCUGACCCUUUAAGGGUCCUGAAGGAACGUUGAAGACGACGACGUUGAUAGGCCGGGUGUGUAAGCGCAGCGAUGCGUUGAGCUAACCGGUACUAAUGAACCGUGAGGCUUAACCUU
RNAcentral lists this ribosomal RNA (2902 nucleotides) under Escherichia coli. RNAcentral describes it as "bacterial LSU rRNA". It matches the Rfam family "Bacterial large subunit ribosomal RNA". The record is from RNAcentral. Lineage: Bacteria; Pseudomonadati; Pseudomonadota; Gammaproteobacteria; Enterobacterales; Enterobacteriaceae.